AGCACGGUGGCUCAGUUGGGACAGCGUCGGCCUCAUGAUACAAUAUAUUGUGAAAACCGAAGAUCGUAAGAUCAAAACUUACCAGUGCUU
Neopestalotiopsis sp. 37M is the source of this 90-nucleotide non-coding RNA. NCBI's taxonomy places the organism in Eukaryota, Fungi, Ascomycota, Sordariomycetes, Amphisphaeriales, Sporocadaceae. The record is from the annotation of a GenBank genome assembly.